UCGCCCGCCGACGUCAUGAGCGGCGGGAGGAAAGUCCGGGCAACACAGAGCGCCAUGCUUUCUAACGGAAAGCUGUCGGCAACGGCAGAGCAGUGUGACAGAAAACAACCGCCCCGGGCCGUCCGGGGCAAGGGUGAAAAGGCGGGGUAAGAGCCCACCGGGCGCCGUGGCGACAUGGCGCGCCGCACACCUCAUGGGUUGCAAGGCCAAGUAUACCGGCAUUUAAGGGUUGCUCGCCCAUUGCCGGGGGGUAGGCUGCACCCGUCUUCAGGGCGGGGAGCGACGUGGCAACACGCCGUCGAGAUAAAUGACACGACCGCCGCGGAGGCCGUCUGAUGACGCAGCGCCGCGACGACAUAACCCGGCUUAUAGACG
RNAcentral lists this RNase P RNA (375 nucleotides) under human gut metagenome. RNAcentral's name for it is "Bacterial RNase P class A". It matches the Rfam family "Bacterial RNase P class A". From Rfam's summary of the family: Ribonuclease P (RNase P) is a ubiquitous endoribonuclease, found in archaea, bacteria and eukarya as well as chloroplasts and mitochondria. The record is from RNAcentral.